Molecule: ribosomal RNA, 405 nt
Filed under: uncultured bacterium
Lineage: Bacteria
Description: bacterial SSU rRNA
Rfam family: Bacterial small subunit ribosomal RNA
Source: RNAcentral
AAUGGAGGAAACUCUGAACCAGCCAUCCCGCGUGUAGGAAGAAGGCCCUCUGGGUUGUAAACUACUUUUAUCUGGGAAGAAAAGCCUGUAUUUAUGCGGGUCUGACGGUACCAGAGGAAUAAGCACCGGCUAACUCCGUGCCAGCAGCCGCGGUAAUACGGAGGGUGCAAGCGUUAUCCGGAAUUACUGGGUUUAAAGGGUGCGUAGGCGGCGCUGUAAGUCAGGGGUGAAAGGUUCCGGCUCAACCGGAGAAUUGCCUUUGAUACUGCAGUGCUAGGAUUGGGUUGAGGUUGGCGGAAUGUGACAUGUAGCGGUGAAAUGCAUAGAUAUGUCAUAGAACACCGAUUGCGAAGGCAGCCAACUGGACCUUGAUUGACGCUGAGGCACGAAAGCGUGGGGAGCAAA